AACAAAAGUAAAGUCUGUGUUACAAAAAUGAAUUUUGUCAUGACAAAGCUACACUUUUGUCCACUGAAAGAUAAUUUUGUAUGACAAAAUUUAAAUUUGUAGUAUGCUACAAAUUUUGUUUAACUGAACUCAUUUUUGUUGAACAAAGUUCACUUUUGUCAGUACAAAAUAAAAUUUCAAAUUAUAAACCACAAGAGUCCCAUUCGGCACCCCGUACUGUGUAGAUGGAAAUAGAUUUUAAAAAAAAACUUCUUAUAUAUUUCAAGAAUUCAUUUUAAGAUUGAAGAUUAUGUUUGAAUUAGACAGGUGUUUGGUUCACACAGGUUAGAUUACGAAGCACUCAUUUCCACAAUAUUUUUUGUAUUUUUGUUCUGUUAACUCAUAAAUAUGAGUUAAAAAAACCCUGAACUUGAUUCAAACUAAACAUAACCAACCCUGGAAAUGAAAGCCAUUCACCAUUCAUCUCAACCCUGGUAAUGUUAGCCAUUCACCAUUCAUCUCAACCCUGGUAAUGUAAGCCAUUCACCAUUCAUCUCAACCCUGGUAAUGUAAGCUAUUCACCAUUCAUCUCAACCCUGGUAAUGUAAGCCAUUCACCAUUCAUCUCUACUGUUGACAUUUGAAUUGUCAAUUGGUUGUGUUAUAAGUGAACUGUAUUCCCAGGUAUAUGUUGUAGAUCAGGAAAAUAUUUUUAAUUGUUUUUGCUUGUUUAUGCUUUAAAAGCACCUUUAACUUACUACCUUCAUCAGGAUUGUUAAGCCAAUAUACUUAAAAGCAAGAGAUGUAUAAAUAAAUUAAUAGUAUAGUAGGUUGGCAUUGUCUUUCAAAUGUCAGUAGUUUUACCCUGGACACUCAGAUGUCUUCUACCAAAAAACUGACCUACAUAAAACUGCACAUCUAUAUCAAAAAGUAGUACCAGUAUAUUAACCCAAUCACAAAAAUGAUGAUUGUUAAUUAAGCAAGUUAUCUGGGUUAUUUUGUAUAGGUUUAAUGCAUUAUACAUUAUCUAUAAAAC
This 1014-nucleotide long non-coding RNA is filed under the name Mytilus galloprovincialis (Mediterranean mussel). Lineage: Eukaryota; Metazoa; Mollusca; Bivalvia; Mytilida; Mytilidae. The record is from RNAcentral.